UAAUACGGAGGGUGCAAGCGUUAUUCGGAUUUACUGGGCGUAAAGCGUACGUAGGCGGCGUGGUAAGUCAGGUGUGAAAUCCCACAGCUCAACUGUGGAACUGCACUUGAAACUGCUAUGCUUGAGUACUGGAGGGGGUGGCGGAAUUCUUGGUGUAGGAGUGAAAUCCGUAGAUAUCAAGAGGAACACCAGUGGCGAAGGCGGCCACCUGGACAGUAACUGACGCUGAGGUACGAAAGCGUGGGGAGCAAACAGGAUUAGAUACCCUGGUAGUCCACGCUGUAAACGAUGGAUACUAGAUGUCGGGGCCUUGAGCUUCGGUGUCAAAGCUAACGCAUUAAGUAUCCCGCCUGGGGAGUACGGUCGCAAGGCUG
RNAcentral lists this ribosomal RNA (374 nucleotides) under uncultured delta proteobacterium. Its description in RNAcentral is "bacterial SSU rRNA". It matches the Rfam family "Bacterial small subunit ribosomal RNA", at positions 521 to 896 of the family's 1533-position model. Lineage: Bacteria; Deltaproteobacteria. The record is from RNAcentral.